RNAcentral lists this ribosomal RNA (384 nucleotides) under uncultured bacterium. Its description in RNAcentral is "bacterial SSU rRNA". It matches the Rfam family "Bacterial small subunit ribosomal RNA", at positions 945 to 1329 of the family's 1533-position model. The record is from RNAcentral.
ACUAACCUACCUUAACGGGAAGAACCUUACCAGCUCUUGACAUCCCAAGACCGCCACGGAGACGUGGUUUUCCCUUCGGGGACUUGGAGACAGGUGCUGCAUGGCUGUCGUCAGCUCGUGUCGUGAGAUGUUGGGUUAAGUCCCGCAACGAGCGCAACCCUCGCCCUUAGUUGCCAGCAUUCGGUUGGGCACUUUAGGGGGACUGCCGGUGAUAAGCCGAGAGGAAGGUGGGGAUGACGUCAAGUCCUCAUGGCCCUUACGGGCUGGGCUACACACGUGCUACAAUGGCGGUGACAAUGGGCAGCGACCUCGCGAGGGGGAGCCAAUCCCAAAAAGCCGUCUCAGUUCGGAUUGCACUCUGCAACUCGAGUGCCAUGAAGUUGG